This 687-nucleotide ribosomal RNA is filed under the name uncultured fungus. RNAcentral's name for it is "eukaryotic LSU rRNA". The stretch from base 253 to 406 matches the Rfam family "5.8S ribosomal RNA". Lineage: Eukaryota; Fungi. The record is from RNAcentral.
AAGUCGUAACAAGGUUUCCGUAGGUGAACCUGCGGAAGGAUCAUUAAUGAGUUGUGAUGGGGUUUGAUGCUGGCAGCCAAUUUUUGGAUGCAUGUGCUUGCCCUAACAAUCAUCUUCCAAACACCUGUGCACAUUUUUGAGGGAGUUUUGAGUUUAUUGCCAUUUUGGUGAUUUUCUUGCAUUCCCUUAAAUCAUUAUACGCUUUUAACAAUAAUGAACGUGCUCUGUGCCGCAAGGCCAUUAAUAUAAUACAACUUUUAACAACGGAUCUCUUGGCUCUCGCAUCGAUGAAGAACGCAGCGAAAUGCGAUAAGUAAUGUGAAUUGCAGAAUUCAGUGAAUCAUCGAAUCUUUGAACGCACCUUGCGCUCCCUGGUAUUCCGGGGAGCACGCCUGUUCGAGUGUCGUGAAAUUUCUCAAGCUUGGAUGGCUUUUUGUCUGUCCUUAGCCUUGGUUGUUGGGCUUUGCCGUGUCCUUUUGUUGGGACGGCUGGCCUUAAAAGCAUUAGCUGAUCCUUGUGUGGCACUGGUUCUACUCAGCGUGAUAACAGUCUGAUCGCUGAGGACAUCUUUUGGGAUGGCCAGUUCUCAUUUGGGUUGCUUCUAAACUUGGUUUUGCAGAUUCUUGAAUCUGUGUUCCACUUUUCAGCUUUGACCUCGAAUCAGGUGGGACUACCCGCUGAACUUAA